Molecule: ribosomal RNA, 478 nt
Filed under: uncultured bacterium
Lineage: Bacteria
Description: partial 16S ribosomal RNA
Rfam family: Bacterial small subunit ribosomal RNA
Source: RNAcentral
GACGAACGCUGGCGGCGUGCUUAACACAUGCAAGUCGAACGGUAAGGCCCUUCGGGGUACACGAGUGGCGAACGGGUGAGUAACACGUGGGUGAUCUGCCCUGCGCUUCGGGAUAAGCCUGGGAAACUGGGUCUAAUACCGGAUAGGACCACUGCCUGCAUGGGUGGUGGUGGAAAGCUUUUGCGGUGUGGGAUGGGCCCGCGGCCUAUCAGCUUGUUGGGGGGGUGAUGGCCUACCAAGGCGACGACGGGUAGCCGGCCUGAGAGGGUGACGGGCCACACUGGGACUGAGAUACGGCCCAGACUCCUACGGGAGGCAGCAGUGGGGAAUAUUGCACAAUGGGCGCAAGCCUGAUGCAGCGACGCCGCGUGAGGGAUGACGGCCUUCGGGUUGUAAACCUCUUUCAGCACCGACGAAGCGCAAGUGACGGUAGGUGCAGAAGAAGGACCGGCCAACUACGUGCCAGCCGCCGCAGUAA